GUCGAGAAUAAUUCACAAUGGACGAAAGUCUGAUGGUGCAACGCCGCGUGGAGGAUGACGGUCUUCGGAUUGUAAACUCCUGUCAUCCGGGAGUAAGACCUGGCUGUGAAUAGCAGACAGGGUUGAUAGUACCGGAAGAGGAAGGGACGGCUAACUUCGUGCCAGCAGCCGCGGUAAUACGAAGGUCCCGAGCGUUGUUCGGAAUCACUGGGCGUAAAGGGAGCGUAGGCGGCGGGGUAAGUCAGAUGUGAAAUCCCGGGGCUCAACCUCGGAACUGCAUCGGAUACUGCCAUGCUUGAGGGCUGGAGAGGUAACUGGAAUUCUCGGUGUAGCAGUGAAAUGCGUGGAUAGCGAGAGGAACACUCGUGGCGAAGGCGAGUUACUGGACAGCAUCUGACGCUGAGGCACGAAGGCCAGGGGAGCGAAAGGGAUUAGAAACCCUGGUAGUCC
RNAcentral lists this ribosomal RNA (450 nucleotides) under uncultured bacterium. RNAcentral's name for it is "partial 16S ribosomal RNA". It matches the Rfam family "Bacterial small subunit ribosomal RNA", at positions 354 to 796 of the family's 1533-position model. The record is from RNAcentral.